RNAcentral lists this long non-coding RNA (399 nucleotides) under Olea europaea (common olive). Its description in RNAcentral is "long non-coding RNA (OEUR_LNC006209)". Lineage: Eukaryota; Viridiplantae; Streptophyta; Magnoliopsida; Lamiales; Oleaceae. The record is from RNAcentral.
CUAUCUCAGGUCCUUAUACAGAUUCAUCUAUUCUUUCUUUUUAUUUUCCUUGUUUCUGUUGUAAUGGAUGAAAUCUUAUCCUGUGAGUUAGAUUAAUGGUUGAUUAGAAGUAAAAUGCUUCAGAAUUUUCAUCUCUCUCUCUCUCUCUCUCUCUCUCUCUCUCUCUCUCUCUCUCUCUCGUGCGUGACCGCAGAAUGAUGUAACACUCUGAAGUCAGGGAUUAGUUUUCGCAAUAUGUCAUAAGUUGAUUUGUCUUUUAUUUAUUUUGCGCCCAAACAUAUGAAAUCAAGCCCCCUAGUUUCCAGAACAUCUUGCAAUGAUAAUUGUUCUGACUGCUAUGUGGCCACAAAUAUUGACAUGGUUUGCCUACUUCUGUUCUAAUGUAGAACAAGGUCUACU